RNAcentral lists this ribosomal RNA (253 nucleotides) under uncultured bacterium. RNAcentral's name for it is "partial 16S ribosomal RNA". It matches the Rfam family "Bacterial small subunit ribosomal RNA", at positions 524 to 776 of the family's 1533-position model. The record is from RNAcentral.
UACGGGGGGGGCAAGCGUUGUUCGGAAUUAUUGGGCGUAAAGAGCUCGUAGGCGGUUUGUCGCGUCGGCUGUGAAAACCCGAGGCUUAACCUCGGGCCUGCAGUCGAUACGGGCAGACUAGAGUUCGGUAGGGGAGACUGGAAUUCCUGGUGUAGCGGUGAAAUGCGCAGAUAUCAGGAGGAACACCGGUGGCGAAGGCGGGUCUCUGGGCCGAUACUGACGCUGAGGAGCGAAAGCGUGGGGAGCGAACAGG